Long non-coding RNA from Oncorhynchus tshawytscha (Chinook salmon), 595 nucleotides. The record is from Ensembl. NCBI's taxonomy places the organism in Eukaryota, Metazoa, Chordata, Actinopteri, Salmoniformes, Salmonidae.
UUACAGCUAGACUGGAAACUGAGGGGGAGAGAGGGAUGUUCUGUCCUGCAACUGUCAGGUGUGUUAUCGGUGAGCUGUGUUAUCGGUGAGGUGCGUUAUUGGUGAGGUAUGUUAUCGGUGAGGUGCGUUAUUGGUGAGGUGUGUUAUCGGUGAGGUGCGUUAUUGGUGAGGUGUGUUAUCGGUGAGUGCUGGACCUGGUGUGUGAUUGGUGAGGUGUGUUAUUGGUGAGGUGUGUUAUUGGUGAGGUGUGUUAUUGGUGAGGUGUGUUAUCAGUGAGGUGUGUAAUUGGUGAGGUGUGUUAUUGGUGAGGUGUGUUAUUGGUGAGGUGUGUAAUUGGUGAGGUGUGUAAUUGGUGAGUGCUGGACCUGGUGUGUUAUUGGUGAGGUGUGUUAUUGGUGAGGUGUGUUAUUGGUGAGUGCUGGACCUGGUGUGUUAUUGGAGAGGUGUGUUAUUGGGGAGUGCUGGACCUGGUGUGUUAUUGGUGAGGUGUGUUAUUGGGGAGUGCUGGACCUGGUGUGUUAUUGGUGAGGUGUGUUAUUGGGGAGUGCUGGACCUGGUGUGUUAUUGGGGAGUGCUGGACCUGGUGUGUUAUUGG